GAUGAACGCUCGCGGCAGGCCUAAUACAUGCAAGUCGGACGGGAUUCAGGAGCUUGCUUCUGAUGAGAGUGGCGCACGGGUGCGUAACACGUAUGUAACCUACCUUUAUCAGGGGGAUAGCCUCUCGAAAGAGAGAUUAAGCCCGCAUAAAAUCACAGCACAGCAUUGUGUACUGAUCAAAUAUUUAUAGGAUAAAGAUGGGCAUGCGGAACAUUAGCUAGAUGGCGGGGUAACGGCCCACCAUGGCGACGAUGUUUAGGGGAUCUGAGAGGAUGGCCCCCCACACUGGUACUGAGACACGGACCAGACUCCUACGGGAGGCAGCAGUAAGGAAUAUUGGUCAAUGGGCGGAAGCCUGAACCAGCCAUGCCGCGUGCAGGAAGACGGCCCUACGGGUUGUAAACUGCUUUUAGACGGGAAUAAACCCAGAUACGUGUAUCUGGCUGAAUGUACUGUAAGAAUAAGGAUCGGCUAACUCCGUG
RNAcentral lists this ribosomal RNA (482 nucleotides) under uncultured bacterium. RNAcentral describes it as "partial 16S ribosomal RNA". It matches the Rfam family "Bacterial small subunit ribosomal RNA", at positions 28 to 507 of the family's 1533-position model. The record is from RNAcentral.